Molecule: transfer RNA, 73 nt
Filed under: Marmota marmota marmota (Alpine marmot)
Lineage: Eukaryota; Metazoa; Chordata; Mammalia; Rodentia; Sciuridae
Also listed under: 1 other name
Rfam family: tRNA
About the family: Transfer RNA (tRNA) molecules are approximately 80 nucleotides in length. Their secondary structure includes four short double-helical elements and three loops (D, anti-codon, and T loops).
Source: Rfam by way of RNAcentral
UGGAGAAUAGCUCAGUUGGUAGAGUGUUUAUCUCACGUGCAUAAGGCCCUGGAUUCAAUCCCCAGUACUACAC